AAGGCGAUUAAUAUGUUUGUUACGAAUUAGACUACGGGAGAAAUACGGUACAUGGAAAGUGUGUUUUGCGGUACGAGAGAAGUGCGGUACGAUUCAAAUAGUUACAAAAAUAUAUAGAUACAUAUGUAUAUAUAAAGAUUUUGAUACUGUUAAAGCACUGUUGCGGUGCGGUUUUUGUUACCAUUCACAAUCUAUAUGUUUGUCGAUACUUAUAUUUUUUUGUAUUUAUG
RNAcentral lists this small RNA (230 nucleotides) under Arabidopsis thaliana (thale cress). RNAcentral's name for it is "ATSL184310". Lineage: Eukaryota; Viridiplantae; Streptophyta; Magnoliopsida; Brassicales; Brassicaceae. The record is from RNAcentral.